UGGGUGUCUAAGGUUAUGGAUCAUAUAAAUUAAGGGUGCAAGUCCCUUAUGAAUCUCCUUGAUAGUUAUUAUGGGGCACCACUUUGAUUUGAUCAAUUUGGGCGUGUCCAUUGAUUAGAGGGCCUUUUAUUUUCAUAUGGGGCAUCUCUUGGGUGUAUUUUGGGGUAUCUAAUUAUGGAUGUAAGGGCUCCAAUUAUUGGCACCUAAUAGGCUUCCUAAUGUAAGUUGGAUAACUUAAGUUAAUAGGAAUCCUAAUGCAAGUAGGACUUGUAUUAUGAGAUUGAAUAGGAUUCAAUCCUUAUGCCUAUUU
Molecule: long non-coding RNA, 310 nt
Filed under: Elaeis guineensis (African oil palm)
Lineage: Eukaryota; Viridiplantae; Streptophyta; Magnoliopsida; Arecales; Arecaceae
Description: long non-coding RNA (EGUI_LNC068201)
Source: RNAcentral